UUUAGCAGGUCUGAGUUGAUGUUGACAGGGAUUCACUGUAGUUAAGCUCCGAAAACAUUUGGCUGCAGCUGCAGGGUGUCAGUAGAAUCAUGGGGCUCAAUUUUUGCUUCCCUGUUCCCAAACCCACUGCCAGAAGGAAAAGCAGAAGACAUCCCAACACAUGCCUGUGCAGGAGACAAGGGCAGACACAUAUCUAAGAAGCUUGUCCUGCUGCCAGCAUCCCUCAGCCUUCGCUCAGCUGGUCCCGGUACAAUUAGUGAAGAACAGCCUCCAACACCAAUGCAGGGGCUUGGAAAUGGUCAGCCGAUCACUCAGGUCGCUGACAGCCAGGAUACUCUUCACAGAAGGAGUGAGGAGCUGAAAGUCUUGACUGUUGUUGCCCUACUGGGGGCUGUUUACUUCUUGUAAUGAAUUAUUAAAGGAAAUGAAAGGG
Molecule: long non-coding RNA, 433 nt
Organism: Stegostoma tigrinum
Lineage: Eukaryota; Metazoa; Chordata; Chondrichthyes; Orectolobiformes; Stegostomatidae
Exons: 2
Source: RefSeq, a predicted model, not a curated record